CUCAGGGAAGUGUUUGGCCAACUGAAAUGUGUAGCGGGCAGGCAGGCAGGUGGGUAGGCGGGCAGGAUGGCAGGCGCUAGGCAAGCGGGCGGACGCGUAGGCACUCAAUGUGGGUAGAACACAGGGGAAGCAGAGACGGAGUAAUCUGACCAAGCAGCUGAAGUGACAGAAGCUACAUUAAUAGAGGCAUAUGUCUGGAGCACAGAGAGACGGAAAGAGAGAGAAAACAGACACUGUACCAGCCUGAGAGAGAGCGAGAGAGAAAGGGUGAGGGGUAAACAGAAAACAGCGCCAGCCUCUGUAAUUGCCUCAAUGCCACUGGGAAUGCUCUCAUUCAUUUGAAGCAGGCUGUAUUCUCGCUCUCUCUUUCUCUUUUUUCACAAUUGAGGUGCGUGGGGUGCAGUUGGGUGGGUGAUCCGUGUGCAAUCCUCAGUGUGUGAUGCUAACGUAUGGCGAUGAGUGCGAUAGCUCCCCUGUGCUGAAUCUCCCGUAACAUCAGCGUGAGGACCAGUCCAUGGCUGUGGCCUGGGUAGAGAGCACAGCACACAGCGCUGUGGAAAAGUGAGGGCGAUAAGGAGGUUGUAUCUGACAGAGAGAGGACCACCGCCACGCUCCAGCCCCAACCCACUGGUUCAUUAGUAUCAACAGUGAGUGAAUCACCCAGCUUUGGCCCGUCCGGCGUUACCUGUACAUGGAGACCCCCAGCUGGGCAGGUACGUCCCUCUGCCUCUCUCUCUCCAACACACACACACACUUUCUCUCUCUCUACCUGUCUCUCUAUUACAUACACACACACACACACACACACACACACACACACACACA
RNAcentral lists this long non-coding RNA (825 nucleotides) under Salmo salar (Atlantic salmon). RNAcentral describes it as "lncRNA (ENSSSAG00000099291.1, ENSSSAG00000121738.1)". The record is from RNAcentral. Lineage: Eukaryota; Metazoa; Chordata; Actinopteri; Salmoniformes; Salmonidae.